CCCUUAGACGUUCUGGGCCGCACGCGCGCUACACUGACACAGGCAACGAGCUUUCCUUUACCGAAAGGUAUGGGUAAUCUUUUGAAACUGUGUCGUGCUGGGGAUAGAUCCUUGCAAUUUUUGAUCUUAAACGAGGAAUUCCUAGUAAGCGCGAGUCAUCAACUCGCGUUGAUUACGUCCCUGCCCUUUGUACACACCGCCCGUCGCUACUACCGAUUGAAUGGUUUAGUGAGAUCUCUGGAUUGACGCUGGCUAGGGGGCGACCCUUGGCCAGACUGUUGAGAAACUGCUCAAACUUGAUCAUUUAGAGGAAGUAAAAGUCGUAACA
RNAcentral lists this ribosomal RNA (328 nucleotides) under uncultured eukaryote. Its description in RNAcentral is "partial 18S ribosomal RNA". It matches the Rfam family "Eukaryotic small subunit ribosomal RNA", at positions 1470 to 1796 of the family's 1831-position model. The record is from RNAcentral.